Molecule: ribosomal RNA, 538 nt
Filed under: Debaryomyces hansenii
Lineage: Eukaryota; Fungi; Ascomycota; Pichiomycetes; Serinales; Debaryomycetaceae
Description: eukaryotic LSU rRNA
Rfam family: Eukaryotic large subunit ribosomal RNA
Source: RNAcentral
GAAACCAACAGGGAUUGCCUUAGUAACGGCGAGUGAAGCGGCAAAAGCUCAAAUUUGAAAUCUGGCACCUUCGGUGUCCGAGUUGUAAUUUGAAGAAGGUAACUUUGGAGUUGGCUCUUGUCUAUGUUCCUUGGAACAGGACGUCACAGAGGGUGAGAAUCCCGUGCGAUGAGAUGCCCAAUUCUAUGUAAAGUGCUUUCGAAGAGUCGAGUUGUUUGGGAAUGCAGCUCUAAGUGGGUGGUAAAUUCCAUCUAAAGCUAAAUAUUGGCGAGAGACCGAUAGCGAACAAGUACAGUGAUGGAAAGAUGAAAAGAACUUUGAAAAGAGAGUGAAAAAGUACGUGAAAUUGUUGAAAGGGAAGGGCUUGAGAUCAGACUUGGUAUUUUGCGAUCCUUUCCUUCUUGGUUGGGUUCCUCGCAGCUUACUGGGCCAGCAUCGGUUUGGAUGGUAGGAUAAUGACUAAGGAAUGUGGCUCUACUUCGGUGGAGUGUUAUAGCCUUGGUUGAUACUGCCUGUCUAGACCGAGGACUGCGUCUUU